Molecule: ribosomal RNA, 462 nt
Filed under: uncultured bacterium
Lineage: Bacteria
Description: bacterial SSU rRNA
Rfam family: Bacterial small subunit ribosomal RNA
Source: RNAcentral
GAUGAACGCUGGCGGCGUGCUUAACACAUGCAAGUCGAACGAAACACCUUAUUUGAUUUUCUUCGGAACUGAAGAUUUGGUGAUUGAGUGGCGGACGGGUGAGUAACGCGUGGGUAACCUACCUUGUACAGGGGGAUAACAGUCAGAAAUGACUGCUAAUACCGCAUAAGACCACAGCACCGCAUGGUGCAGGGGUAAAAACUCCGGUGGUACAGGAUGGACCCGCGUCUGAUUAGCUGGUUGGUGAGGUAACGGCUCACCAAGGCGACGAUCAGUAGCCGGCUUGAGAGAGUGAACGGCCACAUUGGGACUGAGACACGGCCCAAACUCCUACGGGAGGCAGCAGUGGGGAAUAUUGCACAAUGGGGGAAACCCUGAUGCAGCGACGCCGCGUGAGUGAAGAAGUAUCUCGGUAUGUAAAGCUCUAUCAGCAGGGAAGAAAAUGACGGUACCUGACUAAGA